Salvelinus sp. IW2-2015 is the source of this 751-nucleotide long non-coding RNA. RefSeq lists it as uncharacterized. The record is from RefSeq and is a predicted model, not a curated record. Lineage: Eukaryota; Metazoa; Chordata; Actinopteri; Salmoniformes; Salmonidae.
UUUGCCAUUGCUCAAUCAGGGGGAGCGUUCCAUUAUUUCACUAAAUGCGAAGGGUACAAGUCAUGUGUAAUUCAAACCAGCUCUGGCACAGGAGAAUAUCUGUCUUUGUUGGACUUGGUCAACUAGCACACAUAACAGAUUUACCCCUCUGUUAUCUGAUUUUGACCGAGGGUUUCCGAUGGUUAGUGUGCACUCGUGGUCAAUUGACGAACUCCUCAGUGGACUGUGAAAUGGAGGCUACAUAGAAGUUAAACAGUAAUUUAGAGCAAAUAUUCUCAUUCAUGAAAAUGCAGCCGAGGACCUACAUUUCAAAGCGCAGUAUGCCAGAUCAGGUAGUAUUAAACUGUGUGGACGGUCGAGACAACAUCUCUCGGAGGGAUUGCCUUGUUUAUUGGAUCUGAGGCUUUGGUCGACACAGUUUCCCAGGUUCCCCCAGAGACGUUCUAUUGUCAUGCUCAGGAAGCUUUCAGAACCUCAAGUCACUCUGAAUGGGUGAGAAGGGUACAGUACAGCACAGAAGGGAUUGGUUCCCCUGAGAGAGUUCCAUUCUGCUGGAAGGACAUGAGAGCCAUUCUACUUCGGGACUGUGGGAUCACACUAUUGGGGAUGAUGGAGGCAAGCUACAAGGUCUUGGUACUUAAAAAUUWAAGAAACAACCAUUCAGCUUUUAAAAUGUACAUGUUGACAUCAGUAGCCUAUAUUAUUUUGAAACUGUAAAAAAUCACCUUACCUUGACAGAAGUAACUCAGAU